This 2290-nucleotide unclassified non-coding RNA is filed under the name Hevea brasiliensis (rubber tree). The record is from RNAcentral. Lineage: Eukaryota; Viridiplantae; Streptophyta; Magnoliopsida; Malpighiales; Euphorbiaceae.
GCAAGUUUUCAUUAGAAAAACGAAGAGAUAUUCAGGUCUACAAAAUGAGCAACAUCAAAAGAAGUGUCCACCCAGACCUGCUCCUAUAUUUCUCCCUCCGCGAAAUGAACUCUGGCCAUAGCACGAGUCACAGCAUUACCUGAGCGGCACACAAAAGACCAUGAACAACUGCCAAAAUUCUGCAUCAAUUACAAACGAUCUUGACUGAAGCAAUUGCACCACAUGCAGACAACUGAUUCAACAAGAAGACUCCGGAAGCUUAAACCCACAGCCAAUUGCAGACCAUAGGAAAUUGCCAUUGCCUCUGAAACUGCCGGCCCCCAAGACCCACACAUGCUGUUCGAAGCAGCUGCCAAGAAAAGCCCACUAGCAUUCCGAAAGACUACACCCAAUUGAACCAUAUUUGGUGAAACAAUGGCAACAUCCGUAUUCAACCUAACAAUGCCUUGAGGACGAGGCGCCCAAGAGGAGGUAUGAGAACGACCCGAAGGCCUCAAAGCAUCACCCUCACCCCUUCGAGUUUGCUGAAAUUCAGAAUUAAGAGCACCAGCUCUAGCAACAACCUCGUGACAUGAUCACUGACGCUGCUUAAAGACCCACUUAUUCUUUCCAACCCAGAUGAAAUAACAAAAACAUGCAAUCUUUGCCAACUCUUCACGUGAGCAUUUUUCUAGCAGACCCAACCACCAUCAAUCCCACACGCUACACACCUGUGACCAGUCACGACAUAGGUGAAUAGGAGAUUCUUCAAGAGUACAUAAGGCACAGAUAGGACUGAUAGAGGAAAUACGUCUAUGUAAGAAACCUUUCGUUGACAAAAUCCAAAGCAGCUCUCCAUAUAAAAUUAACAAUCUUGGGUGGAGCGUCUAAUUUCCAAAUUGAUUUCUGAAUUCUAAAAUUAUUCUCCAACGAGGAAGAACCAGGAUAUUUGAUUCGAAGAUUUCAAAAUCAACGUCAACCGAUAGCCACUUCUCACCGAAUACACUCUUAAUUCAUCCUGAAUGGAUUGUAUAGCUCCACAUCAAUUGGAUAAAAAACCUUCUGCUAAGAGAUCCAUUCUCCACACACGAUUUCGCUCAUCAAUUAAUUAUGAAACAUUAGCAUUGAGGGGAAGAGUAUUAGGUGGAGAAAUAAUACGAAAACUAUCCCGAGGAUAAUACCUAGAUUUAACGCUCCAAACCAAGAGCUCCUUACUCCAGACGACAUAGCUAUUGCCACAAGCAUAAAUACAUCCAUUUUUCCUUCCAUUCUUUGCCCCCACCAAGACUGACUAAUCAUCAUACGCAAUUCAUCACAGAAGGAUGAUGGUAAACGGAAGUAUUUCAUCAAAUAUGAUGGAAUGGCUUGGACUACAGUCGUCACCAAAAGAUCUCUAGCAACAGUAGAUAGAAAAUUGUCUUUUCACCCCUGUAAUCUUUACCAAAGCCUUCCUUGAUUUUGGCAAAGACUGCACCUUUCGAUGACCACCACAGUAGGCAAACUCAAAUACAAAUCAUGUCUCUCUACUUCACGAACACCGAAUGAGGUAGAUAAAAAUUGACCCAAAUCAGAAGGCAAAUUAGCACUGAACAGCAACUCGGAUUUAUGCAAAUUAACCUUUUGCCCGGAAAGAUUUUCAUACCGCAGCAAAAUGCUGAAAUAACAACUACUUCAUUAAGAGUAGCUCUCAAAAAAGAAUGCAAUCAUCCACGAACAACCAUUAAUUAAAACUGAAUAAGAGACCGUUGUGACACAUUGCAUCACUAAGGAAGCCCAAACUAGUGAAAACCCCAAAUGGAACAUUAUUGCUUCUUGAAAAGACCAUUCCACCCCGUCAUAGGCUUUGGCCAUAUCUAACUUCAAAACCAUUAAUGCUCUGCUUGAACGGCCACUAUUCUUCUUAUGGUGGAACACCUCAAAAGCUACUAACACAUUAUUUGUAAUCAAGCGACCAGGCACAAAAGCACUUUGAGAAAUAUCCACAAUAUUAAAUAAAAUACCCUUCAAGCGAUUAGCAAUAACCUUUGUAAUGAUUUUGAACAUUACAUUACACAGGCUAAUAGGUCUAAACUCCCCCACAUACCUUGGAUGUUUUACCUUUGGAAUCAAGCAGAUAAAAGUGUGAUUGAGGCCCUCAGGAAUAUGACCACCCUGAAGAACAUGCUACACCAAUCGAAUUACAUUAGUACCCACAGUUGCUAGUACUUUUGAAAGAACAGAGGUGGCAAACCAUCCGGUCCAAGAGCUUUAUAUGGAUCCAUCUAUUUUACUGCCUGCACAAUCUCUUCAAAGCUAUAUGGCUGCAAUAAAA